Peromyscus eremicus (cactus mouse) is the source of this 473-nucleotide long non-coding RNA. RefSeq lists it as uncharacterized. NCBI's taxonomy places the organism in Eukaryota, Metazoa, Chordata, Mammalia, Rodentia, Cricetidae. The record is from RefSeq and is a predicted model, not a curated record. The transcript is spliced from 2 exons.
CACAAAGACAGACGUCUUGGCAUCAAAAGGCUUGUUUUGGGCCUCAAUCCGCUCCUUCUCCGAUUUUCGAAGGAGCCCCCACACAGCAUUCCCUUGGGUCAUCGCCAGGGCUCAUCCUUGGAGUCUGACUUGGGCAGCAGAGCCAAAUCAAGAAGAGCCUUUAUGCUGAGUCUCCACCAUUGGGCCAAUGCCCACCCAGCCAGCAUGCAGAGGAACUAUUAUUAGAAGUUAAUGCCUUCAUCGUAGGGAAAAAUAUAGGAAAGAAAAGAGAAAAUGCAGCUAGACUCCAGUCUGCAGAGAUAAGAUGGGGGAAUGUAAGUGGGGCCAUACUUUAUAUACAAUUAUGUCUUGCAACCUGCCUUAACAUUCGUGUAGCUGAUUUUCAUGCUAUUCAUAUAAUUCACAUCCUUAUUUUUAAAAGAAAUUAUUUUGUGGCUAUGCUUUUAAAAUUAAAGCCUUUCUUUUUGAAGUCA